This 497-nucleotide ribosomal RNA is filed under the name uncultured bacterium. RNAcentral's name for it is "partial 16S ribosomal RNA". It matches the Rfam family "Bacterial small subunit ribosomal RNA", at positions 28 to 507 of the family's 1533-position model. The record is from RNAcentral.
GAUGAACGCUGGCGGCGUGCCUAAUACAUGCAAGUCGAGCGAACAGAUGAUGAGCUUGCUCCUCUGACGUUAGCGGCUGACGGGUGAGUAACACGUGGAUAACCUACUUAUAAUACGGGGAUAACUUCGGGAAACCGGAUCUAAUACCGCAGAAUAUAUUGAACCGCAUGGUUCAAUAGUGAAUGACGGUUUUGCUGUCACUUAUAGAUGGAUCCGCGCCGCAUUAGCUAGUUGGUAAGGUAACGGCUUACCAAGGCAACGAUGCGUAGCCGACCUGAGAGGGUGAUCAGCCACACUGGAACUGAGACACGGUCCAGACUCCUACGGGAGGCAGCAGUAGGGAAUAUUCGGCAAUGGGCGAAAGCCUGACGGAGCAACGCCGCGUGAGUGAUGAAGGUCUUCGGGUCGUAAAACUCUGUUAUUAGGGAAGAAAAACUGUGUAAGUAAAUCUGCCCGUCUUGACGGUACCUAAUCAGAAAGCAACGGCUAACUACGUG